Molecule: unclassified non-coding RNA, 302 nt
Filed under: fungal sp.
Lineage: Eukaryota; Fungi
Description: partial internal transcribed spacer region
Rfam family: Eukaryotic small subunit ribosomal RNA (bases 1-46)
Source: RNAcentral
AAGUCGUAACAAGGUUUCCGUAGGUGAACCUGCGGAAGGAUCAUUAACACGUAUCCAAACGUUAAAACCCCCCCCGUGAACCUUCAUCCUAUUGUUAACAGUUGUUCGGUUUUUUAACCCAAUGUAUUACAUUGAGCUUCACAUUAAACUGUGGGGUUAUUAGGGGGCAUGGGGACCUUGGCAAAGCUCCUGCCCGAGUGUACGGUCUACAGGAAUCGUAGAAGCGCUAUCCUUGCACAAUCAAUGACACUUUCCGACACAGCGAACUACGCGGGUUACAAGAGCAGGAUAUCUUGGUUCUC